GACGAACGCUGGCGGCGUGCUUAAUACAUGCAAGUCGACUGAACUUAAGGUAGCAAUAUUUUAAGGGAGGUGGCGCACGGGUGAGUAACACGUAGGUAAUCUGCCUUUAGGACUGACAUAACUCCGCGAAAGCGGAGCUAAUUUCAGAUGAUGCAGCGGCUCGACAUCGAGACAGUUGUUAAACCUUCGGGGCCUAAAGAUGAGCCUGCGUCUGAUUAGGUAGUUGGCGGAGUAAUAGCCCACCAAGCCAUCGAUCAGUAGCUGGUCUGAGAGGAUGAUCAGCCACACUGGGAACUGAGACACGGUCCAGACUCCUACGGGAGGCAGCAGUAAGGAAUAUUGCUCAAUGGCCGAAAGGCUGAAGCAGCAACGCCGCGUGGAGGAUGAAAU
RNAcentral lists this ribosomal RNA (390 nucleotides) under uncultured bacterium. RNAcentral describes it as "bacterial SSU rRNA". It matches the Rfam family "Bacterial small subunit ribosomal RNA", at positions 28 to 414 of the family's 1533-position model. The record is from RNAcentral.